UUCGAAAGCCUCAGAAUCCAAAGAUAACGAAUUUUCUAAACAAAAUUCACCACCAAAACCACCCAUUAAAAAUGUCUCCCUGCUCCUGCAACUGCUGCUCCGGCGACUGCAACUCCUGCAGCUGCAAAAGCUGUUCUGUAAGUUGGACCUGACG
This is a small RNA of 154 nucleotides. It matches the Rfam family "A. fumigatus sRNA Afu_254".